This 73-nucleotide transfer RNA is filed under the name Ovis aries (sheep). It matches the Rfam family "tRNA". From Rfam's summary of the family: Transfer RNA (tRNA) molecules are approximately 80 nucleotides in length. Their secondary structure includes four short double-helical elements and three loops (D, anti-codon, and T loops). Further hydrogen bonds mediate the characteristic L-shaped molecular structure. tRNAs have two regions of fundamental functional importance: the anti-codon, which is responsible for specific mRNA codon recognition, and the 3' end, to which the tRNAs corresponding amino acid is attached (by aminoacyl-tRNA synthetases). tRNAs cope with the degeneracy of the genetic code in two manners: having more than one tRNA (with a specific anti-codon) for a particular amino acid; and 'wobble' base-pairing, i.e. permitting non-standard base-pairing at the 3rd anti-codon position. The record is from Rfam by way of RNAcentral. Lineage: Eukaryota; Metazoa; Chordata; Mammalia; Artiodactyla; Bovidae.
UCCCUGGUGGUCCAGUGGCUAAGACUCUGCACUUCCAAUGCCGGCUGUCUGGGUUCAAUGUCUAGUCAGGGAA